GGGGUUGUAGCUCAGUGGUAGAGCACUUGCCCCACACACAUGAGGUCCAAGGUUCAAUCCUCAGCACCA
RNAcentral lists this transfer RNA (69 nucleotides) under Ictidomys tridecemlineatus (thirteen-lined ground squirrel). RNAcentral describes it as "Spermophilus tridecemlineatus (thirteen-lined ground squirrel) tRNA". It matches the Rfam family "tRNA". From Rfam's summary of the family: Transfer RNA (tRNA) molecules are approximately 80 nucleotides in length. Their secondary structure includes four short double-helical elements and three loops (D, anti-codon, and T loops). Further hydrogen bonds mediate the characteristic L-shaped molecular structure. tRNAs have two regions of fundamental functional importance: the anti-codon, which is responsible for specific mRNA codon recognition, and the 3' end, to which the tRNAs corresponding amino acid is attached (by aminoacyl-tRNA synthetases). tRNAs cope with the degeneracy of the genetic code in two manners: having more than one tRNA (with a specific anti-codon) for a particular amino acid; and 'wobble' base-pairing, i.e. permitting non-standard base-pairing at the 3rd anti-codon position. The record is from Rfam by way of RNAcentral. Lineage: Eukaryota; Metazoa; Chordata; Mammalia; Rodentia; Sciuridae.